Molecule: long non-coding RNA, 843 nt
Organism: Corticium candelabrum
Lineage: Eukaryota; Metazoa; Porifera; Homoscleromorpha; Homosclerophorida; Plakinidae
Exons: 3
Source: RefSeq, a predicted model, not a curated record
CUUGAGUGUCUUGGCUGCUGCUAUUAGAACCAGCUCAGAGUCAACAGCAAUGAGAGUGGAUGGGGGCGGUACCAACCAGCUACCAUCCCACCAAUGAAAUCCAAAGAUAGCAAAGAUACAAACACUACGCCAGUUCCUGAAAACUUUGAUUCUCUCGUGUUUAUUGGUUUAUGAGAAGAACAGUUGGAGUCAAGGAAGCUGCCCUGUCAUCCUCCUUUGCGCGCUCUCUGGUCUGGAAAUUCGAGGCUAAAGACCCGACCCUCUUCUUGAAGAGCAACGUGCAAAGGUGCCGAUCUGUUGUUAUCACUGCGAAUAGAAGAGACAUGUACCUAUUAUUUAAGGUGCAGACAGUAAACUGUGUUACCGUCGAAAGCAAAAACUGGCGGCUGUACGUCCGAUAUUUGAUGGGCGUGUCCGAUGUACUGGAAAGCAGCGGAAGUUCUAUUUUGUCACCGUGAACAGCAUUAUACGCCAAGUGAUCACACUGAAUCUAGCACGUCGUGUUACAGUGUUACAUUCAUGCCCUAGAUACAAGAAAUCUUCGUCUGGUUUCGGUACGCCAGUGUCCCGAUAUUGGGGAGUACUCGUGUCCAAUACGAAAAAAUUGGACAUCUUAGAAGCAGAGAAGACAUGAUACAAAAACUAAACUGUCAAAUUCAUAUAUGAAUGUACUUCUGUACAAAGUGUACUUGAGUCCACCUGUAUCUCUGUCUAAAGGACAUUACAUUCUGAAUUCAGACGGCCGCGUAUGCAAUGAAGAGAGCCUACACCUUGAAAACUGAUGCAACCCCAUAGCAUCUAGACUGCUUAAUUUUAUAAUAAUUGUUGGAUGCUGCACUACUG